Hypanus sabinus (Atlantic stingray) is the source of this 2604-nucleotide long non-coding RNA. RefSeq lists it as uncharacterized. The transcript has 2 exons. The record is from RefSeq and is a predicted model, not a curated record. NCBI's taxonomy places the organism in Eukaryota, Metazoa, Chordata, Chondrichthyes, Myliobatiformes, Dasyatidae.
UCCGUACGCGCCCAAAGGUUGUGUCCUCAAAUUCGGUGAAAUCCCGUGUAGGCCUCAACACGCGAGGAACACCAGAGGAAUUCAGCGGGUCAGGUAGUAUCUAUGAGGGCGAAUGCGCUUCAUCUAGCACAUAGGUACAGACAACACAUCGAAUCUAAAUGAUACGAGACUGUGAAGACUUUAAAAAUAAAAAUGUGUAAAAUAAGGCAUUUUUGCAAAAAUAAACAACAAGCCGCAAGGUAAUACUGCAACUCGAUUAAACUGAGAUACGGCAUGGAAUAGGCCCUUUGAGCCCCGCAGCCAGCAACCCACCUAUUUGACCUUGGCCUAAUCACGGGACAAUUUACAAUGACCAAUUAACCCAAUUAACUGGAAUGUCUGUUUUGUGGGAGGAAGCCGGAGGACCCAGAGAAAACCCACAUAUGCCACGGGGAGGAUGCAUCAACUCCUUUACAGAGGAUGCCAAGGUUGAACUCUGACAGCCCAAGACAUAAUAGCGUCAUAUUAACCGCUACUACAGGGACGCCAAUUUUGGUCUAGAUUUCCAGCAUCUGCAGAAUCUCUUGUGUUUAUUAUAUAAUUGAUUAGCAAAAACAGCUGUAGUAGUGUCCAUGAAACUAUUGAGCUGAAAAAAAAAAUUUGUUUUACAAAUAUCCUUCUGGGAAGGAAAUCUUCUGCACUUGCUCAGUCUGGUCUGUAUGUGGCUCCAGCCUUACAAUGUAAUUUCUUAACUCCCUCAGAAGUACCCUGACCGAUGAAUCAGUUCCCAAUUGAGCCAUCUGGUACGGAAGGUCCACUGCACAGGAUCAGAAUAAAAGCUGCAGAAUGUUGUGGACUCAGCCAGCUACAUUGAGGACACUAGCCUCCCCAACAUCAUGGAUAUCUUAAAGAAAAGGUAAAGCCUCAAAAAUGCAACAUCAGUCAUUAGGGACCACCAUCGCCCAGGACAUGCCCUCUUCUCAUUGCUACCAUCAAGGAGAGGUACAGGAGCCUGAAGACACACACUCAAUGUUUUAGGAAUAGCUUCUUCCCAUCCACCAUCAGAUUUCUGAAUGGACAAUGGACCCAUUACAUGACCUCAUGAUUUUUUUUUCUCUUUUUGCUUUUUUUGCACUACUAAUUUAAUAUCAUGUUGGUAUUUAUAGUUUUAGUUUAUGUAUUGCAAUGUACUGCUACUGCAGAACAACAUAUUUUACGACAUAGUGAUUUUAAACAUGGUUCUGAUUCUGACCAGAAGCAUCCUGGCCAAUCAGUCAGUUCAGAGGCAAACAGCAACACCUGGAUGUUGCUAACAAAUAAAUAAGUAGUUUGUCAAAGAUAAGAAUGGUAACUGCAGGAUUUUAUAUGAUAAACAGAGGAAAAGUAUUCACUCUGAUGUUUGCAGCACAGAAGCAAAAACUUAAAAUUAGAACUGGGUCAUUCAAGACUAAUUUUAUUUAGAGAUGCAUUACGGUAACAGGCCCUUCUGGUCCAACUAGCCCACACUGCAUUAUUUCAACCAAUUAAACUGCUAUCCUAUGCAUUUUAGAUUAGAUUACAUAAUUGUUAUUUUCCUUGUAGUUUAGUUUUCUUAUGUUUGUAUUUUUAUAUAUUUACCUAUGUAUAUUCAGUACAUUUUCCGGCAGUUACUGUUCCUGUGCAUCUUUCUGGAAGCUUCUUGGCUAUUGCAUUAAUUGAGUAGGGCUAUCUGAUUGGUUAACUCUUAUCUAUGGAAAUUCAAUGGAAUUAACAAAUUGGUAUAGGAAGGCCAAACCACCUUGGAUUCGGGCUUUUUACUCUUUGUUCUUUCCCCUGCCACUAGUGUCUGUCUCUCCCCCUCCUCCCCUCUCUCCCUCCUCCCCCACUUUAUGCUUCGUCUUCAUUUUUCUUGUUUUUUAUUGCAAUGCAGCGCAGAAUAGGCCUCUACAGCCCUUCAAGCUCUACCACCCAGUAACCCCCGAUUUAACCCUAGCCUACUCACGGGACAAUGUACAAUAACAAUUAACCUACCAACUGAUACAUCAUUGAAUUGUGUUUUUGUAAUGCUUAAUAAGUGAUCAUAAGCAAAAGUUUUAAUGCCUCAUGCUUGACUUCCAAAGAACCUCGGAUUAAAAACAUCUUUGGAAUGUGGGAGUAAACCGGAGAAAGAUCUUCAUACUAAGGACAGUAAAAUGCAAUUGAAGCUUUUGAUGCAGGGGGAUUACAAGGGAAUAGGGAGUAUUCAAAAUAAAUGGAGUUGAGGGUCAAAUGAGCUGCAGUCUGGAUCAGUAAACAGUGGUUUUUCUGUACUUGCCUCAACAGAAAAACACAGACAGGUUGCAGAAUAGAAUGGGAUUACCUUUAGUUAAUUUGCUAUACACAUUUCAACCACACAGUUUGCAAUAUUAUUUUAUUGACAAUUAUUAAAAUUACAAAUUGUUUUUAUUGAUUAAACCAGGUAAUAUCAAUUUCAUGAAGAAAUUUGUGUUGUUAAAGAAAAAUAGGGAUUUAUGAAGCUUGCACUAAAACAGAUCAAGCAGUAAUGAGAAAGAACAAAUGUAGUCAACUUUCUUUGCCUUUUCACCUUUCAUUUUUCAUAGGAAUGCUAGAGACCAGAGGCCUUUCCUUUCAAAACUCAAGUUUAAU